RNAcentral lists this ribosomal RNA (402 nucleotides) under uncultured bacterium. Its description in RNAcentral is "bacterial SSU rRNA". It matches the Rfam family "Bacterial small subunit ribosomal RNA", at positions 375 to 774 of the family's 1533-position model. The record is from RNAcentral.
GCGCGAGCCUGAACCAGCCAAGUAGCGUGAAGGAUGACUGCCCUAUGGGUUGUAAACUUCUUUUAUAAGGGAAUAAAGUGAGGCACGUGUGCCUUAUUGUAUGUACCUUAGGAAUAAGCAUCGGCUAACUCCGUGCCAGCAGCCGCGGUAAUACGUAGGUGGCGAGCGUUGUCCGGAAUUACUGGGCGUAAAGGGUGUGCAGGCGGAUAUUUAAGUGAGAUGUGAAAGACCCGGGCUUAACUCGGGCAGUGCAUUUCAAACUGGAUAUCUAGAGUGCAGGAGAGGAGAACGGAAUUCCUAGUGUAGCGGUGAAAUGCGUAGAGAUUAGGAAGAACACCAGUGGCGAAGGCGGUUCUCUGGACUGUAACUGACGCUGAGGCACGAAAGCGUGGGUAGCAAACA